UACGAAGGGGGCUAGCGUUGUUCGGAUUUACUGGGCGUAAAGCGCACGUAGGCGGACUUUUAAGUCAGGGGUGAAAUCCCGGGGCUCAACCCCGGAACUGCCUUUGAUACUGGAAGUCUUGAGUAUGGUAGAGGUGAGUGGAAUUCCGAGUGUAGCGGUGGAAUGCGCAGAUAUUGGGAGGAACACCAGUGGCGAAGGCGGCUUUCUGGGCCAUUACUGACGCUGAGGUGCGAAAGCGUGGGGAGCAAACAGG
This 253-nucleotide ribosomal RNA is filed under the name uncultured bacterium. RNAcentral's name for it is "partial 16S ribosomal RNA". It matches the Rfam family "Bacterial small subunit ribosomal RNA", at positions 524 to 776 of the family's 1533-position model. The record is from RNAcentral.